Molecule: ribosomal RNA, 432 nt
Filed under: uncultured bacterium
Lineage: Bacteria
Description: partial 16S ribosomal RNA
Rfam family: Bacterial small subunit ribosomal RNA
Source: RNAcentral
AACGAACGCUGGCGGCAUGCCUAACACAUGCAAGUCGAACGAGACCUUCGGGUCUAGUGGCGCACGGGUGCGUAACGCGUGGGAACCUGCCCUUAGGUUCGGAAUAACUCCCCGAAAGGGGUGCUAAUACCGGAUAAUGUCUUCGGACCAAAGAUUUAUCGCCUUUGGAUGGGCCCGCGUUGGAUUAGCUAGUUGGUAGGGUAAAAGCCUACCAAGGCGACGAUCCAUAGCUGGUCUGAGAGGAUGAUCAGCCACACUGGGACUGAGACACGGCCCAGACUCCUACGGGAGGCAGCAGUGGGGAAUAUUGGACAAUGGGCGAAAGCCUGAUCCAGCAAUGCCGCGUGAGUGAUGAAGGCCUUAGGGUUGUAAAGCUCUUUUACCCGGGAUGAUAAUGACAGAACCGGGAGAAUAAACUCCGGCUAACUCCGU